Molecule: ribosomal RNA, 296 nt
Filed under: uncultured bacterium
Lineage: Bacteria
Description: partial 16S ribosomal RNA
Rfam family: Bacterial small subunit ribosomal RNA
Source: RNAcentral
GGAUUAGAUACCCUGGUAGUCCAUGCCGUAAACGCUGAGUGCUAGGUGUUAGGGGUUUCGAUACCCGUAGUGCCGAAGCUAACGCAUUAAGCACUCCGCCUGGGGAGUACGACCGCAAGGUUGAAACUCAAAGGAAUUGACGGGGGCCCGCACAAGCGGUGGAGCAUGUGGUUUAAUUCGACGCAACGCGAAGAACCUUACCAGAUCUUGACAUCUUCCGCUACGCCUCGAGAGAGGCGGUUCCCCUUCGGGGGACGGAAUGACAGGUGGUGCAUGGUUGUCGUCAGCUCGUGCCG